This is a long non-coding RNA of Bactrocera latifrons, 823 nucleotides long. RefSeq lists it as uncharacterized. The transcript has 3 exons. NCBI's taxonomy places the organism in Eukaryota, Metazoa, Arthropoda, Insecta, Diptera, Tephritidae. The record is from RefSeq and is a predicted model, not a curated record.
UGAAUUUCUCUAAAGUAAUUUGUGUAAGUAAAGUGUUUUAUAGUGAAAUCAAAAGUGGAAAUAGUGUUUUAUCGAAAUCAUGCAAAAAGUUUGUGCGGGAUAUGUGCGUUUAGUGUUAUUUUGUGAAAAUAAAAAUGUGCAAGUGAAAGAAACGCUAGUUAAAGCAAAUAGCUAAAAAACCUGCGUUACUCACAUAAAAUACUCUCGCCGUUAAUGCAGGUUUAUUUGAAGCACAAGAAACGAAGAAGACUGCGGUAUACUUUUGUGCUGAGAACAGUGCAUACUAUUAACUGCAACUCUGUGGGUAAACAGAUGUCCGCCGCCAUAUUAAUCGUCUUCCGUCAGUUCCGUUUAUUCGUGCGCGGGCGUAAGUUGCGUUGAAAUGCCGUGUCAUUAAUUCGUGAAUUUCAAAAAAAUCUGUUUUUGUAAAAAAGUUCUAUAAAGUGUAAUCUAUAGUUUAAGUUGUGCUCUAUAAAAAUCGUGUGAAAAGUGUGUGCGGGAAGUGUGUAUUUAGUAUUAUUUUCAAAAUUAAAAUUUUGCCAAAGCAAGUAGCACGAAAACUAGUUGAAGCGAAUCAGAGCAGACACUGUUUUACCCACUUGCAAUAAAUCCACCGUUAAUGCAGUUCUACCUGGAUUUCAUGAAGCAAAGUAUAGUAUAAUUUUAGGCAAAAGUCAGUUUUUAACGAACGCGUUAAUUCGUGUGUGUGUUUUCAUUCAGUUCCAUAUGUGCGCAUUUAAUCUAAAGUGGGACACUCAGUGAAAAAUUUAAUAUAUUGGCAUAUUGUUUCAAAAGUUCAUUUAUUCUCCCACAUUAAAAUCAA